Molecule: ribosomal RNA, 444 nt
Filed under: uncultured eukaryote
Lineage: Eukaryota
Description: bacterial SSU rRNA
Rfam family: Eukaryotic small subunit ribosomal RNA
Source: RNAcentral
CAGGACACGGUAAGGAUUGGACGGACUGAAGGCUCUUUCUCGAUUCCGUGGAAAGUGGUGCAUGGCCGUUUUUGGUUGGUGGAUCGAUCCGUCUGGUUAAUUCCGUUAACGAACGAGACCUCGGCACUCCGAAUAGCGCGGCGGACGUCGCGGCCUCCGGGCCGUCUUCCGCACGAGCUUCUUAGAGGGGACCGUCCCCCCGCCGGGGAAGGAGGUGCGAGGCAACGACAGGUCUGUGAUGCCCUUAGAUGUUCUGGGCCGCACGCGCAUUACACUGACGCGUCCAACGGGUGACUCCCGACCCGAAGGGGCCGGGGAAUCCGCAAGGCGCGUCGUGAUGGGGAUUGAACGUUGCAAUUGUUGUUCACGAACGAGGAAUUCCUAGUAGGCGCGGGUCAUCAACCCGCGCCGAUUACGUCCCUGCCCUUUGUACACACCGCCCCC